CCUACGGGAGGCAGCAGUGAGGAAUAUUGGUCAAUGGCCGGAAGGCUGAACCAGCCAUGCCGCGUGAAGGUCAGUGCCCUAUGGGCGUUAAACUUCUUUUGUGCGGGAGCAAUAAUGGUCACGUGUGGCCAGACGAGAGUACCGUACGAAUAAGCAUCGGCUAACAUCGUGCCAGCAGCCGCGGUAAUACGGGGGAUGCAAGCGUUUUCCGGAUUUAUUGGGGUUAAAGGGUGCGUAGGCUGUGAGGUAAGUCAGCGGUGAAAUGCCCCCGCUCAACGGGGUGAAGUGCCAUUGAUACUGCCUUGCUGGAAUGCGGAUGCCGUGGGAGGAAUGUGUGGUGUAGCGGUGAAAUGCAUAGAUAUCACACAGAACACCGAUUGCGAAGGCAUCUCACGAAUCCGCGAUUGACGCUGAUGCACGAAAGCGUGGGUAUCAAACAGGAUUAGAUACCCGAGUAGUC
This 460-nucleotide ribosomal RNA is filed under the name uncultured bacterium. Its description in RNAcentral is "partial 16S ribosomal RNA". It matches the Rfam family "Bacterial small subunit ribosomal RNA", at positions 338 to 795 of the family's 1533-position model. The record is from RNAcentral.